This 1170-nucleotide ribosomal RNA is filed under the name uncultured bacterium. RNAcentral describes it as "bacterial SSU rRNA". It matches the Rfam family "Bacterial small subunit ribosomal RNA", at positions 340 to 1501 of the family's 1533-position model. The record is from RNAcentral.
UACGGGAGGCAGCAGUGGGGAAUUUUGGACAAUGGGCGCAAGCCUGAUCCAGCCAUGCCGCGUGAGUGAAGAAGGCCUUCGGGUUGUAAAGCUCUUUCAGCCGGAAAGAAAACGCACGGGUUAAUACCUUGUGUGGAUGACGGUACCGGAAGAAGAAGCACCGGCUAACUACGUGCCAGCAGCCGCGGUAAUACGUAGGGUGCGAGCGUUAAUCGGAAUUACUGGGCGUAAAGCGUGCGCAGGCGGUUUUGUAAGACAGGCGUGAAAUCCCCGGGCUCAACCUGGGAACUGCGCUUGUGACUGCAAGACUAGAGUGUAGCAGAGGGGGGUAGAAUUCCACGUGUAGCAGUGAAAUGCGUAGAUAUGUGGAGGAAUACCGAUGGCGAAGGCAGCCCCCUGGGCUAACACUGACGCUCAUGCACGAAAGCGUGGGGAGCAAACAGGAUUAGAUACCCUGGUAGUCCACGCCCUAAACGAUGUCAACUAGGUGUUGGGGAAGGAGACUUCUUUAGUACCGCAGCUAACGCGUGAAGUUGACCGCCUGGGGAGUACGGUCGCAAGAUUAAAACUCAAAGGAAUUGACGGGGACCCGCACAAGCGGUGGAUUAUGUGGAUUAAUUCGAUGCAACGCGAAAAACCUUACCUACCCUUGACAUGUCAGGAAGAUUCCAGAGAUGGGAUUGUGCCCGAAAGGGAACCUGAACACAGGUGCUGCAUGGCUGUCGUCAGCUCGUGUCGUGAGAUGUUGGGUUAAGUCCCGCAACGAGCGCAACCCUUGCCAAUAAUUGCCAUCAUUUAGUUGGGCACUUUAUUGGGACUGCCAGUGAUAAACUGGAGGAAGGUGGGGAUGACGUCAAGUCCUCAUGGCCCUUAUGGGUAGGGCUUCACACGUAAUACAAUGGUCGGUACAGAGGGUUGCCAACCCGCGAGGGGGAGCCAAUCCCAGAAAGCCGAUCGUAGUCCGGAUUGUUCUCUGCAACUCGAGAGCAUGAAGUCGGAAUCGCUAGUAAUCGCGGAUCAGCAUGUCGCGGUGAAUACGUUCCCGGGUCUUGUACACACCGCCCGUCACACCAUGGGAGUGGAAUCUGGCAGAAGUAGGUAGCCUAACCGCAAGGAGGGCGCUUACCACGCUGGGUUUCAUGACUGGGGUGAAGUCGUAACAAGGUAACC